This 405-nucleotide ribosomal RNA is filed under the name uncultured bacterium. RNAcentral's name for it is "bacterial SSU rRNA". It matches the Rfam family "Bacterial small subunit ribosomal RNA", at positions 30 to 434 of the family's 1533-position model. The record is from RNAcentral.
AUUGAACGCUGGCGGCAUGCCUUACACAUGCAAGUCGAACGGCAGCACGGGAGCAAUCCUGGUGGCGAGUGGCGAACGGGUGAGUAAUAUAUCGGAACGUGCCCAGUCGUGGGGGAUAACGUAGCGAAAGCUACGCUAAUACCGCAUACGAUCUAUGGAUGAAAGCGGGGGAUCGCAAGACCUCGCGCGAUUGGAGCGGCCGAUAUCAGAUUAGGUAGUUGGUGAGGUAAAGGCUCACCAAGCCGACGAUCUGUAGCUGGUCUGAGAGGACGACCAGCCACACUGGGACUGAGACACGGCCCAGACUCCUACGGGAGGCAGCAGUGGGGGAAUUUUUGGACAAUGGGCGCAAGCCUGAUCCAGCAAUGCCGCGUGCAGGAUGAAGGCCUUCGGUUGGUUAACGUA